CGUGGGUAACCUGCCUUAUAGUGGGGGAUAGCCUUUCGAAAGGAAGAUUAAUACCGCAUAAGAUUGUAGUAUCGCAUGAUAUAGCAAUUAAAGGAGCAAUUCGCUAUAAGAUGGACCCGCGUCGCAUUAGCUAGUUGGUGAGGUAAUGGCUCACCAAGGCGACGAUGCGUAGCCGACCUGAGAGGGUGAACGGCCACAUUGGGACUGAGACACGGCCCAGACUCCUACGAGAGGCAGCAUG
This 241-nucleotide ribosomal RNA is filed under the name uncultured bacterium. Its description in RNAcentral is "partial 16S ribosomal RNA". It matches the Rfam family "Bacterial small subunit ribosomal RNA", at positions 116 to 353 of the family's 1533-position model. The record is from RNAcentral.